UACGUAGGUGGCAAGCGUUGUCCGGAUUUACUGGGUGUAAAGGGCGUGUAGCCGGGUUGACAAGUCAGAUGUGAAAUCCUGCGGCUUAACCGCAGAACUGCAUUUGAAACUGUUGAUCUUGAGUACUGGAGAGGCAGACGGAAUUCCUAGUGUAGCGGUGAAAUGCGUGGAUAUUAGGAGGAACACCAGUGGCGAAGGCGGUCUGCUGGACAGCAACUGACGGUGGGGCGCGAAAGCGUGGGGAGCAAACAGG
This 253-nucleotide ribosomal RNA is filed under the name uncultured bacterium. Its description in RNAcentral is "partial 16S ribosomal RNA". It matches the Rfam family "Bacterial small subunit ribosomal RNA", at positions 524 to 776 of the family's 1533-position model. The record is from RNAcentral.